AUUGAACGCUGGCGGCAUGCUUUACACAUGCAAGUCGAACGGCAGCGCGGGCUUCGGCCUGGCGGCGAGUGGCGAACGGGUGAGUAAUGCAUCGGAACGUGCCGAGUAGGGGGGGAUAGCCCGGCGAAAGCCGGAUUAAUACCGCAUACGACCUGAGGGUGAAAGCGGGGGACCGAAAGGCCUCGCGCUAUUGGAGCGGCCGAUGUCGGAUUAGCUAGUUGGUGGGGUAAAGGCUUACCUAGGCGACGAUCCGUAGCUGGUCGGAGAGGACGACCAGCCACACUGGGACUGAGACACGGCCCAGACUCCUGCGGGAGGCAGCAGUGGGGAAUUUUGGACAAUGGGGGCAACCCUGAUCCAGCCAUGCCGCGUGCGGGAAGAAGGCCUUCGGGUUGUAAACCGCUUUUGUUCGGGAAGAAAUCCUCUGGGCUAAUACCCCGGGGGGAUGACGGUACCGGAAGAAUAAGCACCGGCUAACUACGUG
This 484-nucleotide ribosomal RNA is filed under the name uncultured bacterium. RNAcentral's name for it is "partial 16S ribosomal RNA". It matches the Rfam family "Bacterial small subunit ribosomal RNA", at positions 28 to 507 of the family's 1533-position model. The record is from RNAcentral.